CGGUGGGCCGCCGGUCAGCGCCGGGAGCUGCCGGGCCGGCCGCACCGCCGCCAACUUCUGGGGAGAGCGAGCCCAGCGCGGAGCCGAAGCCGGGAGCGCCCCGCCAGCUCCUACUCCAAAUGAUGGCAAGAAAAAGGGGAAAGAAGAGCAGGAACAGGAGCUGUGGAAACACAGACAUUAUGUACUCCACCAAGUAGAUCCCCUUCUCUCACUUGUGUUGUUUUAGCACUGUGGGUGAGCCCCCACUCUCAGGUUUUUUUCAAGUGAACUUUAUAAAGAAAUCUUACUAAUUUUAAACAUCCUUAGUGCUCUUAUUGAGAACAUGCAUGUCCACAAGAGGAAAGGCUUUUUCCACAACUGCAAUUCCGAUAUAUUCAAAGCUGGUUUAAGAAAUACUAAGUGAACUCAGCAUCCAUAACCAGAGUGUUACACUUCUGCAAUUCAUUAGUCCUCAAGGUUCCAUUCCGUAAUUAAAAUACUUUGCAGUUUAAGGCUUUACAAUAAAGAAUGUGCAGUCCUCAGCAGUGUUUCCACUGCCAGUCUAUGGAAAACAUAUGCAUGGAAAAUCUGUGCAGUGCAUGCGUGCAGCCAUCCUUGGAUAGCUUCAGCGAACAUUCAACGCUGUCGGUGAGUUUGAGAAUUAGAAAAAACCAUCGACCGUUGACUGUACCUUGAGGUUUAUCACAAACCCUCUGUUAAAUGGAAAGCCUGAACCUUCAGAGAUUUCACAUGUGGUUGCCAUUAGCAGGUCAUGAUUUACAGAUUAUAUUAAGAGCUACAGAGGUUGAGUUUUUCCAGUUCUACUUUCUCUAAAAGUGAAUUGGUGUAUAAGAAAUGCUUGUUUUCUC
Vidua macroura (Pin-tailed whydah) is the source of this 848-nucleotide long non-coding RNA. RefSeq lists it as uncharacterized. The record is from RefSeq and is a predicted model, not a curated record. The transcript is spliced from 3 exons. Lineage: Eukaryota; Metazoa; Chordata; Aves; Passeriformes; Viduidae.